ACUUAAAAAAACAAAGAGUGUAAAUAAAUCUUUGCUCACAGUAAACUGUCGGGCGGUGGAGCUUCUUGUUUUUUGUUUUUGUUUUUUUUACAGACGACUCUCCGAUAAGUCGAUCACGGUCGCUGAUGAAGCUCUGCAGUCAGUCAGUCAGCGUGACGCGGUGUCAGACACAGGCGGCCAUUGUUACACACUGAUUUCCAUCAUGUCCUCUCUUCACAGGACAGUGUGUGUGUGUGUGUGAGUGUGUGUGUGUGUGUGUGUGUGUGUGUGUGUGUGUGUGUGUGUGUGUGUGUGUGUGUGUGUGUGUGUGUGUGUGUGUGUGUGUGUGUGUGUGUGUGUGUGUGUGUGUGUG
Labrus mixtus (cuckoo wrasse) is the source of this 352-nucleotide long non-coding RNA. RefSeq lists it as uncharacterized. NCBI's taxonomy places the organism in Eukaryota, Metazoa, Chordata, Actinopteri, Labriformes, Labridae. The record is from RefSeq and is a predicted model, not a curated record. The transcript is spliced from 2 exons.